ACUUAGCCAGAGCAGGGUAGAACAAGUCCUUGUAUUUCUGUUUACAGAAGCUUCCACCUGGGUCUACACAUACAGCCACAGAGUCAGCCUGAGUGGAUCCUGGGCUGACAGAGUUUAUCGGCCAGCUCUGCAGUGGCCCUAGGAACAUCACACUGUGCCUAUCAUGCCAAGUGACCCCCGAGACCCACUGGAGCUGAGAGAGCCUGAGGAGGGUGUCAGACCAACAUCCUGGGUGGUUGCUGUAGUUUCCUCUGAUGCCUUAAAACUGAAAAUCUAGAGGGUUUGCAGGAACGACCAAAGGGACUGCACUGUGCUUUGUUUCUGCUGGGAGUGACCCUACAUCACAGAGAGUUUGGGCUUCACUCCACCUAGCCCUGGCUGUUCCUUCCAAACAUUCUUUCACUCACAACCUUCCUUGACCCUCUGUCCCCAUCUGCUCCCUUGAUCUAUUUGUGGACGUGCUUAGAGCUAAAUAACACUGGAGUUGGAUUUCAUUCAAUUUCUCAAGUCGAUUCAAGGAAGGUUGACUUUAUUAUAACUAUUCAGGCAGAGAAUGGCCCUUCUAUCUGCUUUCACACAGAACAAAAAUGGUCUCAGCUCUUCUUUAAACUGUCAAAUUAUAUCCUUCUUCUUUUUGAAUUAUUUAUAAUCUGUUGUUUUUACCCUGCAAAAAUGGGCUUUUGCUACUUCAACCACAUAUUAGGCCUUUUAUGCAAACUGUAAAAGAAGCCAGCCUUCUGUCAGAGAAAGGCUUCUGACUUCACUAGGUAUAAGAGAACCAAAUUUUUAUCCCCAUAAAAUUUUUCCCAUUUCAGUCAUAGCACAGCUGAUGCAAAGGCAGAAGAGUUAUGGUGGAAAUGGAAAUACAUGUGUAAAAACUACAGUCCCUACAGUUUUCUGUGAAUUCAUAAUCCCCAGAGACCAGCAGACCUCAGAAACCAACCAAGCAAUGGGAGGAGCUAGAAACUCAAUGGUAUCAGCCAAAAUGAGCAUGGAGUGUUCACUCAGAAUGAGGAACCACCGAGGAGGUGUGCGUCAUCAGCCUCACUCACAGAGAAGGAAGCCUACGUGGUCACAAGACUGAGCUGUAAGAGGGAGGGGCAAUGCGUAGUCAGCCCAGAUAGAGCUCAAAUGUUUUAAAAUUUAAUACGUUUUUUAUUAUAAGGUCUAACCAAUCCC
Molecule: long non-coding RNA, 1179 nt
Filed under: Homo sapiens (human)
Lineage: Eukaryota; Metazoa; Chordata; Mammalia; Primates; Hominidae
Description: non-protein coding lnc-WRNIP1-6:1
Source: RNAcentral